This 335-nucleotide unclassified non-coding RNA is filed under the name soil metagenome. Its description in RNAcentral is "partial contains 5.8S ribosomal RNA, internal transcribed spacer 2, and large subunit ribosomal RNA". The stretch from base 1 to 120 matches the Rfam family "5.8S ribosomal RNA", at positions 35 to 154 of the family's 154-position model. The record is from RNAcentral.
GAUGAAGAACGCAGUGAAAUGCGAUAAGUAAUGUGAAUUGCAGAAUUCAGUGAAUCAUCGAAUCUUUGAACGCACAUUGCGCCCGCCAGUAUUCUGGCGGGCAUGCCUGUUCGAGCGUCAUUUCAACCAUCAAGCCCCCGGCUUGUGUUGGGGACCUGCGGCUGCCGCAGGCCCUGAAAAGCAGUGGCGGGCUCGCUGUCACACCGAGCGUAGUAGCAUACAUCUCGCUCUGGGCGUGCUGCGGGUUCCGGCCGUUAAACCACCUUCAUAACCCAAGGUUGACCUCGGAUCAGGUAGGAAGACCCGCUGAACUUAAGCAUAUCAAUAAGGGAGGA